CUGAUAAUCAUCAAGUGACCGCUGUAGCUGCUCAUUUACUAUCCUAAAGAAUCAGUGGACAAAAACAAAUGAAAUGUAUCUAAACGAGAAGGUGACUUGUCUCGACGUUUUAUUCCAUGCUCUAGCCUCAUUCUCUCAACUUCCAAAGAGGGCAGGAGAAAGACCUAGAGUUCAAGACUACCAUAGGUAUCUGCAACUAGCUUGCUUAUUCUCUCAGCCUCACCUGCACAAUGGGGAUAGGACCAGUAACAAGACACU
Molecule: long non-coding RNA, 258 nt
Organism: Eptesicus fuscus (big brown bat)
Lineage: Eukaryota; Metazoa; Chordata; Mammalia; Chiroptera; Vespertilionidae
Exons: 3
Source: RefSeq, a predicted model, not a curated record